Pan troglodytes (chimpanzee) is the source of this 1258-nucleotide long non-coding RNA. RefSeq lists it as uncharacterized. The record is from RefSeq and is a predicted model, not a curated record. The transcript is spliced from 7 exons. Lineage: Eukaryota; Metazoa; Chordata; Mammalia; Primates; Hominidae.
AUCAAUUAAGCUUCUAUUUUCUGAGAGGACACAUGAUGCACUCAGACUUGAAUGCAAGUCUUGCUUCCUCCUGACAUUUCAUCAAUCUCUAUGCAAAUGCUGACUGGCCCUACCUAAAACUUUGAGCUGAAAAUGGAAGACAGUAAGAGAAAAGAUCUAUGCAUAGAGAGGAGAAAAAGAAAACAGGAGAAACAGAAAAUCACAGAAAAGGAAAGGGAAGAUUUGGUGUGAAUCUGGGCAAUCCUACCAGGGAGAAAUCCAAGGUCAAAGUAAAACAAUGACUUAUAAUGAGAAACAGGAAGACUACACAGUCUUGUUCCUUAUCUACAUGGAAAACCACAAGUUGGCUGGCAUUGAGACACUCUCUACCUUCCUGUAAAUCCUGUAUUAAAACCAGUUCAAGAACCCUGGAGAAGUUUCCAGCUUCCUAAGAUCCUUAUUUCUUAUUAUCCUAUGUGAAAACUGAAAGUCAACAAUUUAUCUUGCCUACUCAUACUUUGAAGAAGUAAAUCUCAACCGAGAGAUACUUGAAAGUAGAGACAUUUUUUACUUACCACAUUUUCCUUAUCACAAUGUGAACUGAAAUCACUUGAUACAAUUGCAGCAUACUGGAGCAGCACUUUAUUGAUAGUCUAAGAAAGAAAACAUUGUGAACUUUACCCAGUUGUUUGCAGCUUUGGCCCUUCCAUACAAGUUUUCUGAGGUCAGAGAUUAUGCUUAUUCAUGACUACAUCCCUCAAGGUGGCUUAUAGUGUGUGCGAGUGAGGCAUAUCAGCAAGCACUUGUUGAAUGAACAGCCUAAAACCUCAGUCAUCAUUCAAUCCAUGGAACCAGACUUAUAUUUAGAUCAGCCAGACAUAGAACUGUAAACAAAAGGUGACAAUGUCCAAAUGCUACCAAGGUUUGCGGGUUGUACCAUUGCUGACAACAGAAAGAUACUGCUUUGGAGUGUGGGGAGAAAUUUGUGCUCUGGAAGCACUUAGAUGGAGUCUUGCUCUGUUGCCCAGCCUGGAGUGCAAUGGCACAAUCUUGGCUCACGGCAACCUCCACCUCCUGAGUUCAAGCAAUUAUCCUGCCUCAGCCUACUAAGUAAUUGAGAUUACAGGUCUUACUGGGAAUGAAGUGGAUCAUCAAUCAGACUAAUCAACAUUGGACUUGGCCUACAACUUUGCUGGUUUAUAGCUUCCAAUGGGAAAAAGUCACUGCUGCAUCUUACUCAUUUUUUUUUUCUGUAUUAAAAUAAAAGGCCAACAAUUUU